GACGAACGCUGGCGGCGUGCUUAACACAUGCAAGUCGAACGGAAAGGCCCUGCUUUUGUGGGGUGCUCGAGUGGCGAACGGGUGAGUAACACGUGAGUAACCUGCCCUUGACUUUGGGAUAACUUCAGGAAACUGGGGCUAAUACCGGAUAGGAGCUCCUGCUGCAUGGUGGGGGUUGGAAAGUUUCGGCGGUUGGGGAUGGACUCGCGGCUUAUCAGCUUGUUGGUGGGGUAGUGGCUUACCAAGGCUUUGACGGGUAGCCGGCCUGAGAGGGUGACCGGCCACAUUGGGACGGAGAUACGGCCCAGACUCCUACGGGAGGCAGCAGUGGGGAAUAUUGCACAAUGGGCGGAAGCCUGAUGCAGCAACGCCGCGUGCGGGAGGACGGCCUUCGGGUUGUAAACCGCUUUCGCCUGUGACGAAGCGUGAGUGACGGUAAUGGGUAAAGAAACACCGGCUAACUACGU
Molecule: ribosomal RNA, 467 nt
Filed under: uncultured bacterium
Lineage: Bacteria
Description: partial 16S ribosomal RNA
Rfam family: Bacterial small subunit ribosomal RNA
Source: RNAcentral